This 76-nucleotide transfer RNA is filed under the name Alteromonas sp. Its description in RNAcentral is "tRNA-His". It matches the Rfam family "tRNA". From Rfam's summary of the family: Transfer RNA (tRNA) molecules are approximately 80 nucleotides in length. Their secondary structure includes four short double-helical elements and three loops (D, anti-codon, and T loops). Further hydrogen bonds mediate the characteristic L-shaped molecular structure. tRNAs have two regions of fundamental functional importance: the anti-codon, which is responsible for specific mRNA codon recognition, and the 3' end, to which the tRNAs corresponding amino acid is attached (by aminoacyl-tRNA synthetases). tRNAs cope with the degeneracy of the genetic code in two manners: having more than one tRNA (with a specific anti-codon) for a particular amino acid; and 'wobble' base-pairing, i.e. permitting non-standard base-pairing at the 3rd anti-codon position. Lineage: Bacteria; Pseudomonadati; Pseudomonadota; Gammaproteobacteria; Alteromonadales; Alteromonadaceae. The record is from RNAcentral.
GUGGGCGUAGCUCAGUUGGUAGAGCCCCGGAUUGUGAUUCCGGUUGUCGUGGGUUCGAGCCCCAUCGGUCACCCCA